This 1022-nucleotide long non-coding RNA is filed under the name Olea europaea subsp. europaea. The record is from RNAcentral. Lineage: Eukaryota; Viridiplantae; Streptophyta; Magnoliopsida; Lamiales; Oleaceae.
UAGAGCUCUCGGUUUUCAGCUUGAAGGUGGUGGUUCUUUACCGGUUUUCCCCCUCUCUCUUGGAAGGUGAUUUGCAAGUCAUGGAGGGCUGUUCGCCUGAAAAACAGCCAUAAGGAGGAGAAGAAGCUGCUGAAAUGAGGAAGAAAAACUGCAGGAAAUUCGGUCAAACACGGUUGUCUCUUUCCACACUUUUUCCAUUGUUUUGCCUUGGAAUUUCUUCUAUUGAUUGAUGUUUAUGGUUGAUUGAACUCCUAGGAUCCCCAACAGGAUCAUAUAAUCAAGAUUAUCUCGCUUGAUUUUGGAAUAGUUGAAUAAAGUGAAGUUAUAACUAGAAUCAUCUAGGAAUUGGAAUGGAGAUGCGGAUAAAUUUAGAAUUGGAAGCAAUCUUGGAAAGCAGCCAGAGACUUGAGAUAUCUCGAUAAACUGAUUUUCAUAAUCGAUUUCUUUAAUGGAAAACUGAACUGAAAAUGGAAGGUUAGAGUCCUUGAUUGAUGCCUUCGCCAGUAAAGGAAAUUCCAAUACCGUGUCAUUGUUUUGAGUGCAGUGAAGUUCAAAGCCAGGGUAGCCACUGUGCUGUUGGUAGCGAUCUUUAAGGCUGAAGGGGAACCGGAUGGCAGGGCCAUACUGCGUGCAGUUUUCGACUUGGCAUUCGUUUUGAGCAAUUGAUCCAAGUACUGCAAAGAGUGAUAGAAAGAUGAGGUAAAUGAGUUGAGGUGCCAUGUUGAGGAAGAACACUUGAUACUGCUUAUGAAUUUCUGGGCCUUUUGUUUUCGUUCACAUUUCCCAGUAGUAUUAGUAAUUUUUCAAGAAGAAAAAAAACAAUCAAAUCAUAGACUAUUAAGCAAAUUUAUGAGUUGACUUGUAUUUCUAUUGGUCUCCGUCCACUGGAGAUAUGGAAUGGAUUUUACUCCAUGUUUUCAUUUACCUGAUAUGCAUUUUCAUCCCCUCGAUUUGCUUAGCUAGUCAUUUAGCUGUACUAACCUUCAUCUUCUACAACAUCAUGCCUUCUAGGCCUAGAAAGA